GUCAGCCGCCGCGGUAACACCGGCAGCUCUAGUGGUAGCAAUUUUAUUGGGCCUAAAGCGUCCGUAGCCGGUUUAAUAAGUCUCUGGUGAAAUCCUGCAGCUUAACUGUGGGAAUUGCUGGAGAUACUAUUAGACUUGAGACCGGGAGAGGUUAGAGGUACUCCCAGGGUAGAGGUGAAAUUCUGUAAUCCUGGGAGGACCGCCUGUUGCGAAGGCGUCUAACUGGAACGGUUCUGACGGUGAGGGACGAAAGUUAGGGGCGCGAACCGGAUUAGAUACCCGGGUAGUCCUAACUGUAAACGAUGCGGACUUGGUGUUGGGGUGGCUUUGAGCUGCUUCAGUGCCGAAGGGAAGCUGUUAAGUCCGCCGCCUGGGAAGUACGGUCGCAAGACUGAAACUUAAGGAAUUGGCGGGGGAGCACCACAACGCGUGGAGCCUGCCGGUUUAAUUGGAUUCAACGCCGGACAUCUCACCAGAGGCGACAGCUGUAUGAUAGCCAGGUUGAUGACUUUGCUUGACUAGCUGAGAAGAGGUGCAUGG
Molecule: ribosomal RNA, 540 nt
Filed under: uncultured archaeon
Lineage: Archaea
Description: bacterial SSU rRNA
Rfam family: Archaeal small subunit ribosomal RNA
Source: RNAcentral